RNAcentral lists this transfer RNA (62 nucleotides) under Metallyticus sp. Its description in RNAcentral is "tRNA-Ser". Lineage: Eukaryota; Metazoa; Arthropoda; Insecta; Mantodea; Metallyticidae. The record is from RNAcentral.
AAGAUGUUUAUAAUAAAAGCUGCUAACUUAUUAUUCAAAUGACUAAAAUCAUUUACAUCUUA